AAUAUUGCGCAAUAGAGGAAACUCUGACGCAGCAACGCCGCGUGCGGGAUGACGGCCUUCGUGGUUGUAAACCGCUUUCAGCAGGGACGAAACUGACGGUACCUGCAGAAGAAGCCCCGGCUAACUACGUGCCAGCAGCCGCGGUAAUACGUAGGGGGCAAGCGUUGUCCGGAUUCAUUGGGCGUAAAGAGCUCGUAGGCGGUUCAGUAAGUCAGGUGUUAAAGCUCCGAGCUCAACUCGGAGAGGCCAUCUGAUACUGCUGUGACUAGAAUCCAGUAGGGGAGCGUGGAAUUCCUGGUGUAGCGGUGAAAUGCGCAGACAUCAGGAGGAACACCAGCGGCGAAGGCGGCGCUCUGGGCUGAGAUUGACGCUGAGGAGCGAAAGUGUGGGUAGCAAAC
This 398-nucleotide ribosomal RNA is filed under the name uncultured bacterium. RNAcentral's name for it is "partial 16S ribosomal RNA". It matches the Rfam family "Bacterial small subunit ribosomal RNA", at positions 360 to 773 of the family's 1533-position model. The record is from RNAcentral.